UACGUAGGGGGCAAGCGUUGUCCGGAUUUAUUGGGCGUAAAGAGCGUGUAGGCGGCCAGGUAGGUCCGUUGUGAAAACUAGAGGCUCAACCUCUAGACGUCGAUGGAAACCAUCUGGCUAGAGUCCGGAAGAGGAGAGUGGAAUUCCUGGUGUAGCGGUGAAAUGCGCAGAUAUCAGGAAGAACACCAAUGGCGAAGGCAGCUCUCUGGGACGGUACUGACGCUGAGACGCGAAAGCGUGGGGAGCGAACAGG
Molecule: ribosomal RNA, 253 nt
Filed under: uncultured bacterium
Lineage: Bacteria
Description: partial 16S ribosomal RNA
Rfam family: Bacterial small subunit ribosomal RNA
Source: RNAcentral